Molecule: unclassified non-coding RNA, 434 nt
Filed under: uncultured Inocybe
Lineage: Eukaryota; Fungi; Basidiomycota; Agaricomycetes; Agaricales; Cortinariaceae
Description: sequence contains ITS2
Rfam family: 5.8S ribosomal RNA (bases 1-155)
Source: RNAcentral
AACUUUCGGCAAUGGAUCUCUUGGCUCUCGCAUCGAUGAAGAACGCAGCGAAUUGCGAUAAGUAAUGUGAAUUGCAGAUUUCGAGUGAAUCAUCGAAUCUUUGAACGCCUCUUGCGCUCCUUGGUAUUCCGAGGAGCAUGCCUGUUUGAGUGUCAUUUAAACUUCUCAAUCCACAUUGAUUCUAUCGGUGUGGGGUUUGGAUGUGGGGGUUAUCAUUUUUGCAGGCUUCUGUGAAACAGAGGUCGGCUCCCCUGAAAUGUAUUAGUGGUAUCUGAGCUACUGCCAUUGGGUUGAUAAUUAUCUAUGCCUUUGGUAUGCUGCAUGAACAGAUUGCACCGCUUCUAACAAGUGGUUGUUGAACCACAUCUUGAUGAAUUUGACCUCAAAUCAGGUAGGACUACCCGCUGAACUUAAGCAUAUCAAUAAGCGGAGGC